AGAGUUUGAUCCUGGCUCAGGACGAACGCUGGCGGCGUGCUUAACACAUGCAAGUCGAACGAUGAAGCCCUUCGGGGUGGAUUAGUGGCGAACGGGUGAGUAACACGUGGGCAAUCUGCCCUUCACUCUGGGACAAGCCCUGGAAACGGGGUCUAAUACCGGAUAACACUCCUGCCUGCAUGGGCGGGGGUUAAAAGCUCCGGCGGUGAAGGAUGAGCCCGCGGCCUAUCAGCUUGUUGGUGGGGUAAUGGCCCACCAAGGCGACGACGGGUAGCCGGCCUGAGAGGGCGACCGGCCACACUGGGACUGAGACACGGCCCAGACUCCUACGGGAGGCAGCAGUGGGGAAUAUUGCACAAUGGGCGAAAGCCUGAUGCAGCGACGCCGCGUGAGGGAUGACGGCCUUCGGGUUGUAAACCUCUUUCAGCAGGGAAGAAGCGAAAG
Molecule: ribosomal RNA, 444 nt
Filed under: uncultured Streptomyces sp.
Lineage: Bacteria; Bacillati; Actinomycetota; Actinomycetes; Kitasatosporales; Streptomycetaceae
Description: bacterial SSU rRNA
Rfam family: Bacterial small subunit ribosomal RNA
Source: RNAcentral